GUGAUCCCUUUGGCAACAUACACACUAAAAUUGCAACAAUGUAGAGAAGAUUAGCAUGGCCCCUGCACAAGGAUGACACACAAAUUCAUGAGAUGUUUACUAUUUUC
Molecule: small nuclear RNA, 107 nt
Organism: Diceros bicornis minor
Lineage: Eukaryota; Metazoa; Chordata; Mammalia; Perissodactyla; Rhinocerotidae
Source: RefSeq, a predicted model, not a curated record